GAUGAAGAACGUAGCGAAAUGCGAUACGUAGUGUGAAUUGCAGAAUUCAGUGAAUCAUCGAAUCUCUGAACGCACAUUGCACCUCUCGGUAUUCCGGGAGGUAUGCCUGUUCGAGCGUCAUUUGUACCCUCAAGCUCUGCUUGGUGUUGGGUGUUUGUUCCGCCUCUGUGUGUGAACUCGCCUCAAAACAAUUGGCAGCCGGCGUACUUGUUUCGGAGCGCAGCACAUUUUGCGAUCCAGAUCAACGUACAGCGGCAUCCAAGAAGCCUUAUUUAACGCUCUUGACCUCGGAUCAGGUAGGGAUACCCGCUGAACUUAAGCAUAUCAAUAAGCGGAGGA
RNAcentral lists this unclassified non-coding RNA (339 nucleotides) under soil metagenome. RNAcentral's name for it is "partial contains 5.8S ribosomal RNA, internal transcribed spacer 2, and large subunit ribosomal RNA". The stretch from base 1 to 120 matches the Rfam family "5.8S ribosomal RNA", at positions 35 to 154 of the family's 154-position model. The record is from RNAcentral.